UCCGUGGUUCUCUAGAAGAAGACUACUUUUGUAUGCAUUUCCAAUAAGGUCCUAUGUUAAACUAAGCCCCCCCCCCCCCGGUGGCAGCCAUCUUGGAUGAUGGAUCGGAGACAAAGUAACAACACUUGGUCAGCAUCUCAUAAGGAACAUUCAUGCCAUGUUUGGUUUCAUUCCAUUCAGUGGUUCUCUAGAGAAGUCAUUUGUAUGCAUAUCCCAUAGGGUCCUAUGUUAAAC
RNAcentral lists this long non-coding RNA (234 nucleotides) under Mytilus galloprovincialis (Mediterranean mussel). The record is from RNAcentral. Lineage: Eukaryota; Metazoa; Mollusca; Bivalvia; Mytilida; Mytilidae.